GAUGAACGCUGGCGGCGUGCCUAAUACAUGCAAGUCGAGCGAACAGACGAGGAGCUUGCUCCUCUGACGUUAGCGGCGGACGGGUGAGUAACACGUGGAUAACCUACCUAUAAGACUGGGAUAACUUCGGGAAACCGGAGCUAAUACCGGAUAAUAUAUUGAACCGCAUGGUUCAAUAGUGAAAGACGGUUUUGCUGUCACUUAUAGAUGGGUCCGCGCCGCAUUAGCUAGUUGGUAAGGUAACGGCUUACCAAGGCAACGAUGCGUAGCCGACCUGAGAGGGUGAUCGGCCACACUGGAACUGAGACACGGUCCAGACUCCUACGGGAGGCAGCAGUAGGGAAUCUUCCGCAAUGGGCGAAAGCUUGACGGAGCAACGCCGCGUGAGUGAUGAAGGUCUUCGGAUCGUAAAACUCUGUUAUUAGGGAAGAACAAAUGCGUAAGUAACUAUGCACGUCUUGACGGUACCUAAUCAGAAAGCCACGGCUAACUACGUG
Molecule: ribosomal RNA, 497 nt
Filed under: uncultured bacterium
Lineage: Bacteria
Description: partial 16S ribosomal RNA
Rfam family: Bacterial small subunit ribosomal RNA
Source: RNAcentral